This is a non-coding RNA of Scenedesmus sp. NREL 46B-D3, 74 nucleotides long. The record is from the annotation of a GenBank genome assembly. NCBI's taxonomy places the organism in Eukaryota, Viridiplantae, Chlorophyta, Chlorophyceae, Sphaeropleales, Scenedesmaceae.
GCAACCAUGGUGAAGUCGGUUAUCACGUGUGCCUCACAUGCACAAGGUCCCCAGUUCGAUCCUGGGUGGUUGCA